CGCCCGUUAGUGGAACUGGUUAUCACGUCGCCCUCUCAAGGCGAAGAAUAGGGGUCCGAGCCCCCUACGGGUGACCA
Molecule: transfer RNA, 77 nt
Filed under: Acholeplasmatales bacterium
Lineage: Bacteria; Bacillati; Mycoplasmatota; Mollicutes; Acholeplasmatales
Description: tRNA-Glu
Rfam family: tRNA
About the family: Transfer RNA (tRNA) molecules are approximately 80 nucleotides in length. Their secondary structure includes four short double-helical elements and three loops (D, anti-codon, and T loops).
Source: RNAcentral